UCAGCUCUUGCUGAAAAGGGUUGUUAUAAUGGUCCUUUGUCAAUCUCGUUGUACGACACCGAAGAUGAGAAAACCCUUCUUCCCCCCUCCACGAAACAAGAAUUGAUAGAUAGAUACGAGGCUGCCGGGGUCAGUUUAAAUUUCGUACCCAAAGAGGAACAUGGAUAUGAGAGAGUUUAUAAGAUGUUAGUGGACAUUCUUUUGUGGGCAGUGAAUAGUCCUGCCUGUUCAAAUUUGAUUAUACUCUCAAAAGGAGCCAUCAAAGAAGAGAGGACCCUCGAAAUUAUUGAAAGUUUGUAUUUCGGGAGUUUUGAUGCCAAAGUUGUCUUACCAGAGCGUACAUCAGAAUUGAUGCCUUUUACUGAAAGCUCAGCAUGGCUUUGGGAGUUGCUUUGUGAUGGAGGCGGAAGCUCACAAUCUUGUGCUGAUACUGAUGCUGUUGGUCCAUCCGAGGACUAGCUAGGAAGCAAUUCUGAAGAGGAGGAGGAGACUAAUUAAUGUAUUUUCAUCAUGUUUAAUGUUGUUUAUGAACUGUGAUAUUGGAUUAUCUUUGGUAGUCUUUUCUUCCAUAAAACAAAAAUAAUAAUUGAAAUAUCGUUUUUACUCUU
Non-coding RNA from Camelina sativa (false flax), 608 nucleotides. Lineage: Eukaryota; Viridiplantae; Streptophyta; Magnoliopsida; Brassicales; Brassicaceae. The record is from RefSeq and is a predicted model, not a curated record.